AGAGUUUGAUCAUGGCUCAGGACGAACGCUGGCGGCGUGCCUAAUACAUGCAAGUCGAGCGGACUCUUAGUGAUCUUCGGAUCACUCUGGGUUAGCGGCGGACGGGUGAGUAACACGUAGGCAACCUGCCUGUAAGACUGGGAUAACUACCGGAAACGGUAGCUAAUACCGGAUAGGCGAGAUCCUCGCAUGGGGGACUC
This 200-nucleotide ribosomal RNA is filed under the name uncultured bacterium. RNAcentral's name for it is "partial 16S ribosomal RNA". It matches the Rfam family "Bacterial small subunit ribosomal RNA", at positions 8 to 200 of the family's 1533-position model. The record is from RNAcentral.